UGCAUUCACUACUGUAAGUCGCUCUGGAUAAGAGCGUCUGCUAAAUCACAAAAG
This is a non-coding RNA of Salmo salar (Atlantic salmon), 54 nucleotides long. The record is from Rfam. NCBI's taxonomy places the organism in Eukaryota, Metazoa, Chordata, Actinopteri, Salmoniformes, Salmonidae.